Molecule: ribosomal RNA, 411 nt
Filed under: uncultured bacterium
Lineage: Bacteria
Description: bacterial SSU rRNA
Rfam family: Bacterial small subunit ribosomal RNA
Source: RNAcentral
GUGCCAGCCGCCGCGGUAAUACGUAGGGUGCAAGCGUUAAUCGGAAUUACUGGGCGUAAAGCGUGCGCAGGCGGUUUUGUAAGACGGAUGUGAAAUCCCCGGGCUCAACCUGGGAACUGCAUUCGUGACUGCAAGGCUAGAGUGCGUCAGAGGGAGGUGGAAUUCCGCGUGUAGCAGUGAAAUGCGUAGAUAUGCGGAGGAACAUCGAUGGCGAAGGCAGCCUCCUGGGAUGACACUGACGCUCAUGCACGAAAGCGUGGGGAGCAAACAGGAUUAGAUACCCUGGUAGUCCACGCCCUAAACGAUGUCAACUAGUUGUCGGGUCUUAAUUAACUCAGUAACGAAGCUAACGCGUGAAGUUGACCGCCUGGGGAGUACGGCCGCAAGGUUGAAACUCAAAGAAAUUGACGG